GACUACUGGUGUAUCUAAUCCUGUUUGCUCCCCACGCUUUCGCGCAUCAGCGUCAGUUAUGUUCUAGCAGGUCGCCUUCGCAAUGAGUAUUCCUCUUGAUCUCUACGGAUUUUACCCCUACACCAAGAAUUCCACCUACCUCUCCCAUACUCUAGAAUAACAGUUUCAAAUGCAGUUCUAUGGUUAAGCCAUAGGAUUUCACAUCUGACUUGCUAUCCCGCCUACGCGCUCUUUACGCCCAGUGAUUCCGAGUAACGCUUGCACCCUCCGUAUUACCGCGGCUGCUGGCACGGAGUUAGCCGGUGCUUAUUCGUUAGAUACCGUCAGUAUCUUCUCUAACAAAAGGAGUUUACAAUCCGAAAACCUUCAUCCUCCACGCGGCGUUGCUGCUUCAGGGUUUCCCCCAUUGAGCAAUAUUCCCUACUGCUGCCACCCGUAGG
RNAcentral lists this ribosomal RNA (440 nucleotides) under uncultured bacterium. RNAcentral's name for it is "partial 16S ribosomal RNA". The record is from RNAcentral.